AAGGGAGACCUAAUUCCGGUAGGAGACGAAAAAAAAGUAGUCCCAACCAAGAAUCAAUCCCAAAAGGUCGGAACGAGGUAUGAGGCUUUCAAACUAGGUUCUGGGUUCGUAAAAGACCUGAAUCAGGAACAAGGGCUAUUAGCUCAGGUGGUUAGAGCGCACCCCUGAUAAGGGUGAGGUCCCUGGUUCGAGUCCAGGAUGGCCCACCUGCACAGGUGGCAAAAACAAGAGAAGCUCCGAAUCAGCACCUUAUCUUAUAUACAUAUAUAAGAGAGAAUGCUGGCUCUGAGUACAGAGUCCAGAGGAACCUUGAAAACUGCAUAGAGCUAGGUGAAAAAGCCAAAAAAGAAGACCGCAA
This 358-nucleotide transfer RNA is filed under the name uncultured Microcystis sp. RNAcentral describes it as "partial 16S-23S ribosomal RNA intergenic spacer". The stretch from base 133 to 206 matches the Rfam family "tRNA". The record is from RNAcentral. Lineage: Bacteria; Bacillati; Cyanobacteriota; Cyanophyceae; Chroococcales; Microcystaceae.